Molecule: ribosomal RNA, 427 nt
Filed under: uncultured bacterium
Lineage: Bacteria
Description: bacterial SSU rRNA
Rfam family: Bacterial small subunit ribosomal RNA
Source: RNAcentral
UGGGGAAUUUUGGACAAUGGGCGCAAGCCUGAUCCAGCAAUGCCGCGUGCAGGAUGAAGGCCUUCGGGUUGUAAACUGCUUUUGUACGGAGCGAAAAGGUCUGCCCUAAUACGGUGGGCUCAUGACGGUACCGUAAGAAUAAGCACCGGCUAACUACGUGCCAGCAGCCGCGUUAAUACGUAGGGUGCGAGCGUUAAUCGGAAUUACUGGGCGUAAAGCGUGCGCAGGCGGUUAUAUAAGACAGAGGUGAAAUACCCGGGCUCAACCUGGGAACUGCCUUUGUGACUGCAUAGCUAGAGUACGGUAGAGAGGGAUGGAAUUCCGCGUGUAGCAGUGAAAUGCGUAGAUAUGCGGAGGAACACCGAUGGCGAAGGCAAUCCCCUGGACCUGUACUGACGCUCAUGCACGAAAGCGUGGGGAGCAAACA